RNAcentral lists this transfer RNA (74 nucleotides) under Schistosoma mansoni. Its description in RNAcentral is "tRNA-Asn". It matches the Rfam family "tRNA". From Rfam's summary of the family: Transfer RNA (tRNA) molecules are approximately 80 nucleotides in length. Lineage: Eukaryota; Metazoa; Platyhelminthes; Trematoda; Strigeidida; Schistosomatidae. The record is from RNAcentral.
GCUCAUGUAGAUUAAGAUAAAUUGUUAGGCUGUUAACCUUAAGAUGAAAUUGGAUUAAGUGUUUUCUAUGAGCG